CCUACGGGCGGCAGCAGUGAGGAAUAUUGGGCAAUGGAGGCAACUCUGAACCAGCAAUGCCGCGUGAGUGAUGACGGUAAUUUUAUUGUAAAGCUCUUUUCUUUGGAACGAAUAAAUGACGGUACCAAAGGAAUAAGCCCCUGCUAACUACGUGCCAGCAGCCUCGGUCAUAGGUAGGGGGCAAGCGUUUUCCGGAUUUAUGUGGUUUAACGGGUGCGUAGGCGGAUUGAUAAUUUAGAGGGGAAAUGUCCGAGCUUAAAUCGGGAACUGCCGCUAAUACUGUUGAUCUAGAGAGUAGUUGCGGUAGGCGGAAUGUAUGGUGUAGCGGUGAAAUGCUUAGAGAUCAUACAGAACACCGAUUGCGAAGGCAGCUUACCAAUCUAUAUCUGACGUUGAGGCACGAAAGCGUGGGGAGCAAACAGGAUUAGAUACCCUUGUAGUC
This 442-nucleotide ribosomal RNA is filed under the name uncultured bacterium. Its description in RNAcentral is "partial 16S ribosomal RNA". It matches the Rfam family "Bacterial small subunit ribosomal RNA", at positions 338 to 795 of the family's 1533-position model. The record is from RNAcentral.